RNAcentral lists this small nucleolar RNA (93 nucleotides) under Olea europaea subsp. europaea. It matches the Rfam family "small nucleolar RNA snoR114". The record is from RNAcentral. Lineage: Eukaryota; Viridiplantae; Streptophyta; Magnoliopsida; Lamiales; Oleaceae.
GGGCAGUGAUGAUUUUGUCUUGCGCUUAAGUGGGACUUUGGGGUCUCCACGAACGUCUGAUAUAUGGACGAAAAAAAUGCGCAAUCUGAGUCC